GGCAUGGUGGCUCAGUGGUUAAAGCGCCUGCCUCAUGAACGGGAGGUCGUGGGUUCGAACUCCGGCCGAGUCU
Molecule: transfer RNA, 73 nt
Filed under: Strongylocentrotus purpuratus (purple sea urchin)
Lineage: Eukaryota; Metazoa; Echinodermata; Echinoidea; Camarodonta; Strongylocentrotidae
Rfam family: tRNA
About the family: Transfer RNA (tRNA) molecules are approximately 80 nucleotides in length. Their secondary structure includes four short double-helical elements and three loops (D, anti-codon, and T loops).
Source: Rfam by way of RNAcentral